Andrographis paniculata is the source of this 706-nucleotide long non-coding RNA. RefSeq lists it as uncharacterized. The transcript has 4 exons. The record is from RefSeq and is a predicted model, not a curated record. Lineage: Eukaryota; Viridiplantae; Streptophyta; Magnoliopsida; Lamiales; Acanthaceae.
GCCCUCCCCCUUUCUUCUCCAACGCAUCUUCAUUCUUUCUUCGACCUUUUCUUUUCUCUUCUUCUAACUUGCUCAGCCGCCGCCGCCCCUUUUCAUCUGCCUUGGUCGCUGGUCGAUUUCUCCCCGCCGCAGCAUUCCGUUGAAGUGAGGGCUUUUGGAACACGUCUCCAGCUUCGACCCAUCAGGUGACACACUUUUCCUGGUCAAGGUAUUCGUUACAUCCGCCGCAGUCCCGGACACACUCCUUAUUUUGCCGACAAUUGCUAGGGCGACUACCUUUCGCGAGGUGGUCGGUGAAGAUCCUAUUGAGUGGAACUAUAAGGAUCUCAUGCACCACCCCUGAAGCAUAUCGAUCGGUUCCUUUAUGUUUUGCCUCUGUUUGCAUUAUCAAUUGCAUGUCGUGGAUGUGCUUGGAUGGUAGGUUCUUAUGGCUAUGUGAAAUACCUAUGGAAUAGAUGGAUAGAAAUUUGGAUGUAUCUUUUGUGUGGUAAGAAUUGUUGCUAUGGAUUGAUGGAUCUCCCCACUUGCUUAUUACUAGGUUGGAUGUUUGAAAUGCUUGUGUUUGACGGAACAUAAUGUCAAAGUGGAGAUGUUGCUAGCCUUGUUCGAUUGGUUAAUUUACUUUGUUGUUUGUUGGAGGACAUCGACUAGUAAAUACUGUUAUGUUAAUAUCCUAUGUUGGGAUUUCCUUAAUAGUGUUUAUUGU